Molecule: ribosomal RNA, 429 nt
Filed under: Triticum aestivum (bread wheat)
Lineage: Eukaryota; Viridiplantae; Streptophyta; Magnoliopsida; Poales; Poaceae
Description: partial small subunit ribosomal RNA
Source: RNAcentral
AUGUCCACACGCUGCAGCAGGCGCUGGACGUCGCCCCGCCGCCUCGUCUUCGCACGGCACAAGACCGUGCGGAGCACGCUGAGUGGCAGAACCGCCUCCUCGUCGCCCAUGAGGACGAGCGUUCUCCUCGUCGCCCAUGAGGACGAGCGGGUCAUGGCGGAGUGGCGCCAACAACACCCGGAGGACGUAUCCUACGAGCAAGCCUACUGGGCAAGGCGCCGCAAGGAGGAGACGCAAAGGCGCCGCGCUGAGCGGUUGGACAGGCGUCGGCGGAAGGCCCUGGCACUAUCCCAGUGCGAUGUAGUUGAGAAUGGUGGUGAGACGAUCUUUACAUCUGAUGAUGAUCGUUGGGAAGACAUGUGGCUCGAUACCUUGGAUCAGACCAGCGAGGAUGGCGACGAUGACGAUGACGAUGACGACUGGGAGUAG